Papaver somniferum (opium poppy) is the source of this 444-nucleotide long non-coding RNA. RefSeq lists it as uncharacterized. The transcript is spliced from 3 exons. NCBI's taxonomy places the organism in Eukaryota, Viridiplantae, Streptophyta, Magnoliopsida, Ranunculales, Papaveraceae. The record is from RefSeq and is a predicted model, not a curated record.
AUGAAAACUCGGAUGCUUUUCUUACAACCCUAGAGGAGUGGUAGAAAAGGAAUUUCUUUCUUCAAAAGCCCCCGAAGGACUUGGAUGCGAAUGAAGUCAAGAGGAAAUGGUGCUUCUUUGUCAUGACAUUCGCCGGAUGAAAAAUAGCCUACCGCACAAAUCUCCGACACUGGGAACUCAUUAAUGCAAGUUAGAGGCAUCUAGGAUAGCUACAAUCGAUUUGAAGAAGCUUAAAGAUGCUGGUCUGUGCAAGACGAUCUGUUGCUUACUCUCCUUGGAAAUAAUUACUUCAUGCACAAAUGAAUUGCUGAAGCUAAAGUUGAUAAGAUCAUUGAAGCAGUGUCGAAGCUGGUUCCAUUGGGUUUUACUGGUGCCAGUCAACUCCAUACAGAAAGGCAAGAAGGUGUUUUUGGAGAAAUAAGCUUUUGCGGCGAAAUUGGCUAA